Ceratocystis platani is the source of this 104-nucleotide transfer RNA. It matches the Rfam family "tRNA". Rfam says of the family: Transfer RNA (tRNA) molecules are approximately 80 nucleotides in length. Their secondary structure includes four short double-helical elements and three loops (D, anti-codon, and T loops). Further hydrogen bonds mediate the characteristic L-shaped molecular structure. tRNAs have two regions of fundamental functional importance: the anti-codon, which is responsible for specific mRNA codon recognition, and the 3' end, to which the tRNAs corresponding amino acid is attached (by aminoacyl-tRNA synthetases). tRNAs cope with the degeneracy of the genetic code in two manners: having more than one tRNA (with a specific anti-codon) for a particular amino acid; and 'wobble' base-pairing, i.e. permitting non-standard base-pairing at the 3rd anti-codon position. NCBI's taxonomy places the organism in Eukaryota, Fungi, Ascomycota, Sordariomycetes, Microascales, Ceratocystidaceae. The record is from Rfam.
UCCUCUGUGGCGCAAUUGGCUAGCGCGUCUGACUGUUACGCACUCUUUCUCUUUCGACAGAUGCAGCAAUCAGGAGGUUGACAGUUCAAGCCUGUCCGGAGGAG